UUCAUCAUUAUUUAUAACAUAUAUAUUUUUUUUUAUUAUUUUUUUACGCCGCUAUAUGAAAAAAAUUAAUUUAACGUUUGGCAUUUUUAUAUAGAUAAAAAUAAGUGGAAACAGACGUCUGAUUAUAAGAGAAAAUUUCUUCACUGCAAGUAGAAAAAGACAUAAGUGGAAAAAGACGAUUUGAGUUGAUAAAUACUUAGCAAGUUAUAUAUAUAUUAUUUAAAAUAAAUUAAAUCCAAGCGGAGUAAUAACAAAUAUAAGUAUAUGAUUGAUAAAAAAUAUAUAUAUUUAUAACUGGCUUUAAUUGAUAAAAUUUUUUAAUUUAUAGUCUCAUUAUGUGAUAAGAUUUAUAUGUCAAUUGAAAUAAUAUAAAUUAUAGAAAUUUAUUUAAAAUGUUUUUAGAAAAUACUUUCUCGAGUGAGGUAUAGUUUUAAUUCAUGGGAUUAGUUUGAAUGGCGAUAACCAAAUUAAUGCAGUAAACUAAUAAAUAAAAUAUAAAGGUAUUAUGACGAAAUGACAUUAGUGUUGGAGUUAAGUAGGGAUAUACGGUUCAAUGAGACUAUGGAGUUAUAAACUGAGCGAUGACGUAAUGACUUAAUACACAAAUAAAGAGAUUCGCCUAACACGCUGUUUUUUCACUUGAACUCCUUUCAUUCUCGUCCCGUUCAUUCCUAUUUCGGAGCAGCUUCGCGGUAUACGAGUAAGAAGAAAAAGAGUUUAAGUAGGUCACGGAAAAGCGGACAUGCAGGAAAUCAAAUUGGAACAUUGAAAGACAUUUGACAUGCGAAAAUGCCGUAAACGUUGCGGUAUUAUCUGUGUCCUCGGGCUAUUUGCCAGCUCACAUGCUCACAAACACACCCAAUAUAUCAUCACACAUUCGAACUCAUAAAACUUUUACGAAAUUUUUAUUUUAUUCCUUCAAAAAUCCAAGAUAUUUUAAACGUCAAAAAAAACCGCAUUAAUUUACAUAAACUAAUUAAUGUUUUUUUAAAUUAUUAUUUAAUCAAUUAAAAAAUUUUUAUAAGCUGUCACUUUAAUGACAAGUAAUUAAAUUAAUAUUUUUUUUAAAUUUUAAUUAGUAAUCAAUUAAAGUCUUAUGUAAUAUCGAAUGUAGAUCAUCGCAAUUCAGUGGACAUGAAGACAUCAGCAAUCAUGACACGAAAAUAACUAUAGUCUCUUUCAUGUAAGCAUGCAUAUAUAUUUAUAUAUAAUGUCGUGACGAGAAGACUAAGUACUGAGGCUCUGUACUCGUUAAAAUAUACACGACUAGACGAACAAUAUAAACAAGUAGUACGUGUCUUGUUGACGUUGCGCAACGUGCAAUAUAAGACAAGAAACUCUUAUUCGUUUGUGAUGAUUUAAAAGUAAAUAAUUUAUUCCGUACAUCUAUCAAUUUAUGUCUAAUUAGACUAUUGACAUUUCCGUGUGGAAUUAAAAUUAAUGUAAAAAAUAUAAUUACUGAGUACUAAUUACUUAUGUUUUAUGCCUAGUGUAUAAUUAGUCAGUAAUUGAAGGUAUAGGAAUAAAAAGUUAUGAAUUUGUUUAAAGUUUCUUAGCUGAGAGAUUGUUUCUGGUUUAUUCUCAAUAAAAUCUCAGGUUCUAGAGUCAAAAGAAAGCGUCAUCGUUUCAGUUAAUCGCGUGGGUGGAGAACCUACACGUAGUUCUGCCUUAUUUGGUGAGUGUUCAAAGUCUCGUGGGCGAUACAAACCUGAAACAGUCGAUCCACAGUCGUAUUUUGUAUUUACAGUACCAGGAAAACAUUGACAAUUGCAUUCACAUAUAGUACAUAUAUAUACAGCGGAUAUGAAAAUUUAUAAAUUUUAAAUAAAUAAAAUAAUCAAAUUUUAAAAAAUGCACGCGCAAAUUUUUUAAUCCAGGGAGUGGUCGUUAAAUUGCAGACUCAGACUUAGUACCCAAGUAUUGCAAGAGGAUUCACGCAAUAAGGAGUGAUCGAGAGUUAUUGGUUUGCCUUGAUGUGGAUCGAUUCCACCGAAAAGGGAUGUAUCGACGUAAUAUACCUCCUGAGAGUAUCAUUGUCGUUUUAUGGGAAUUGAGCGCGAGUACGUGCGAUUUAAUACAUAAAAUCAUCAAUCUUGCAGCACUCACAUUAUCAUCUUUCUUUUUCUCUUUUUACGAUUAAAGUUAACUUGAAUCUCCUUUUAAUUCGAAAUGAAAGCCAAUUAUUUACAGCUGCCGAUUCAUCAAUAAAUCUGACCUCGUAACUUUUAAUCUAUUAAUUUAUUUUACACUGUAAAAAGUAGGGAGUGAAUUCGGAUUUUAUUUAACUCCGAAUUUACUCCGUUACUCAGAGUUCCGGAAUUUAAAAAAAUACUCCGCAUUAAAUAAUUUAAUUUUAACUUUAAAAAUUA
Molecule: long non-coding RNA, 2369 nt
Organism: Microplitis demolitor
Lineage: Eukaryota; Metazoa; Arthropoda; Insecta; Hymenoptera; Braconidae
Exons: 5
Source: RefSeq, a predicted model, not a curated record